This 1081-nucleotide long non-coding RNA is filed under the name Capsella grandiflora. RNAcentral describes it as "long non-coding RNA (CGRA_LNC000319)". Lineage: Eukaryota; Viridiplantae; Streptophyta; Magnoliopsida; Brassicales; Brassicaceae. The record is from RNAcentral.
CCAUGAAUUAAAAAAAAAAACAAAAAAAUACAAAAAAAUAGGAUCUCCAAACUUACAAAAUCUAUAACAAACACGAUUUUACAUAAACGCCAGUACCUUCGGAUCGCGAUUGGCGUUCCACGUUUGCGUUUUACUUCGUAGCCCUCGUAGGUGGUGGGUGAAGGGAGGGUAAGUGAUAAUAAUAGCAACGCGUAAAAAGUUAGUUGUGGAGAGGAUUGGGACCCGUGUGAACUACUCUCUUGUCGUCUCCAUAAAUGUCAUCUACUCUUCUCAAUGGCCCACGAAACGUCGCCGUAGUAGUAGUAGUAGUACUGUAGCUCAGAGCCUUUCUCGACGGUGGCGACGGAGACACGACGAAGUGACGACGAGAAUAACCAACAAAAGAAGAAGAAGAAGAGGCUGACGAAGACAAACCUAUCUGAAAACUGACAAAGAAGAGAAAGAAGAAAAAGAAGGAACACAUGUUCAAGAAGUUCUUGUCCCAUCUUGUUCUGUUAUUUCCAUGUCUCUCUCUUGGUACAAACACGUGAGUCGUCAUCUCACAAAAGCCUUGUUCCGGAGUAACAAGAAACUGACGAACAUGAAGACAAAGGGACAGUGAAAAGAAGUCAAAGCGAAAAAAAACAAGAGAGAAGAAGGAGAAGUAGAAGAAGAAGAAGAGAGAAGUGAGUUUUAUUUGGAAUGCAAAAUUUGUUGUCUUGUGGGUAAUAAUAAGAUUUUUCCUUGUCUUUUUUUUUGACUUGUUAAAAGUUAUUUUGUUGCUUUUUUGCUCCUUAUGGGUCUUCGGAUCCUUCUAAGAUCUGGCACUGUUCUUUCCUCUAAAAGGCAAAAGCUUUACAAGAAUUCUUUUUUUUUUUUUUUUGCAGUCUCUCUCUCUCUCUAUCUCUUUGUCUCGGAAGUCGUAAGCAAAGAGAGUGUGUGUGUGUGGUCUGUAGAGAAAACAAAGUACGACAGGCGGUAUUAAUAACGGCUGUCACCUCUUUGUGUUUAUUCGAGGGAAGCGUCUUUGAAAGCACUCUCUUCUCUUUUCCAUUACUAUCUUCACUUUAUUUGUAUUUUUGUGUUGUUUUAAUGAAUACGU